GCGCUGGGAGAAGCGGACUCAGCAGCUCCGGCCACAAAGGCGCUUUUCAGCCGCCCCGGCUCAGGGAGAGGAAAGGGCAGAAAGCCGCGCCCCCAAUCCCUGCUCCGUCCGGAUGCAGCCCAGAAGGGCGUGGGAGUAGCACCUGAGAAUAACGGUCUCCUUGUGCGGAUCUGGGGAGCCCCCUGCAGGGUGGCAACCAGAGGAAAGGGCCACAAUGUUCCACGGCCAAGGAGGAAAGAAGGAAUGCCCCUUUUCCCAUCUCUAGGUGAAGCUGGACUCACCCACCUGGGCUGCCAUAGGAAAACGGAGGAGCUGGCAGUGCCCCGGCGCAGGCAUCUAAUAGCUGCUGUUUUUCAAAUGAAUGACUUCUCAGUUGGAAGCUGCUGAAGGGCAGUGGACACUCAAAAGUCUUUGUAAGAGGUGAGGAUCACUUCCCUUAACCGUCCAUCUAGGCACCUCUCCAGCUUUCUCCCUCUCUGGACUCCCGGGGCUCCAUUUUCAGCCACUCAGAUCUCAUCUCAGAGGCACCACGUCCAAUUUCUUUUGUUUAGAAGUCAUUUCUUCUAAGAAGCCUUCCUUGAUGUCCCAACACUGCCCACCUGUGUUCCCUCGAGAACCAUUACUUAACUGCAGUGUUAGAACAGUAUUAGAAUUAUCUGGCACCUUACUAGACAAAGCAAUCUUAAGCACACACAUAUUUAUCAUGUAUCUCCAAGGUUAAGUGCCUACUCUACAGAAGGGUGCUUUGCAAGCAUUUGUGGAAUCUACACUUUGUGUUUCAUAUUCACCCUCCCCUCACCACACUCUAUGGCUAGUACUCAUAGCAACUUUGUGUACAUCAGAAAAAACCAGGCCAGGCACAGUGGCUCACUCCUGUAAUCCCAACACUUUGGGGGCGAGGCAAGGACUGC
This 911-nucleotide long non-coding RNA is filed under the name Homo sapiens (human). RNAcentral describes it as "HSALNT0368021". Lineage: Eukaryota; Metazoa; Chordata; Mammalia; Primates; Hominidae. The record is from RNAcentral.